GCUAUAUAUAUAUAUAUACACACACACACACACACACACAUUAUUUUUAUUAAAAUUAACAAAGAGAUCUGAUGGUGUUUUAUUUGUUCAGGACGGGCGUCUGAUAGCAGAUCCAUCAGAUCCUCAAACACUGAUUGUUCCUGUGACGGCUGUAAAAUCUGAUCGUCUCGUCACGUCUCACUGUGUGAAUCUGAAUCAUGAAAUCAUCUGUGAUUCUGCUGAUGGAGUAAAUCAACUUAAUCGCUCAACAUUCAUCUGUUUUCAUUAUCAGUAUCCUUAUGUUCGUUGGGUGAAAAAGAAAACCUCAAUAAACAAAGUAAAAAAGAAUUUGACUGAUAUCAUUCNUGAGAUAAACUCUGUGUUGAACUGAAUCUUGUGUGAAUCUUCAAGUGAAUCAGGAUGAUUGUGGAUGUGUUUUUCAGUGAGGAAUGAAACUGCAGCGACUCCAAACUCAGAUCUCCUGAAUGAAGUGAGUCCAGAUCUCCAACAUUCAGUAGAUCACUUCUGGUGGCUUUUGGCUGUUUUCAUCAUUGUUCUUCUCAUCAUCUUCUUGAUCUGUUUGUUGAAGCGUAAAAGCAUUUUCAGAUGUUUUCAGAGGUUCAUCUGUCAGCGUGACGAUGAUGAUUCAGAAAACAGGGAUCCUGAAGCUGCUGUCCAAAUGAUCUGAUGCUCCUGAUUCACUGAAUCAAUCUCAGUGUGAAUCGACUCACGUCAUUUACUCAAACGUCACUGUGAUCUUUGACAUGAAGAUGAUGAAGGGAGUUUGCAUUCAUUCUGAGCUUCUCAACUCUUAUUUAUUCUCAUUCGUCCUCAAAUGUAAUGCAUAUGAUUACAUGAGAUAUAAAACACUGAAGCAUCUUACAAUCAAAAUGUGUUGCGUUUGUUUUGUACAUCAUUUAUCAGUUUAAUAAUUCAUGAUCAUUUCGUCAUUUACAUCUAUUCAUUCAAUCGUUUAUAUUGUUUUAUUAUGUUUUAGAUUAUUGUUAUUAGGUUGUUCAUCCUGGUGUUUUUCAUGCUUCAUGUAAUGUGUGUCAUCAUGAAUGAGACGAGGGUGAAUGUCUCCAGCUGCAGGGUUUUAAAGGAUGUCUUGUUAUACAGUAAUAACUCUUGCUGUAGGUUGUACUGAUCAGAUGAAGUCUGACUGAGCAGUGAAACAGACACAACUAAGGUUUUGCAGAGGAGCAGUCAUCUGAGUGUUCAAACUAAAAUCAGGUGGAAAGAACAGGGAGGAGAGGAAAAAUAAACAGAUGAAGUAUCAGAUUGGUGAUGUAUGU
Molecule: long non-coding RNA, 1274 nt
Organism: Cyprinus carpio (common carp)
Lineage: Eukaryota; Metazoa; Chordata; Actinopteri; Cypriniformes; Cyprinidae
Source: Ensembl